GUGGGGAAUUUUGGACAAUGGGCGCAAGCCUGAUCCAGCAAUGCCGCGUGCAGGAAGAAGGCCUUCGGGUUGUAAACUGCUUUUGUACGGAACGAAACGGUCCGGGUUAAUACCCUGGGCUAAUGACGGUACCGUAAGAAUAAGCACCGGCUAACUACGUGCCAGCAGCCGCGGUAAUACGUAGGGUGCAAGCGUUAAUCGGAAUUACUGGGCGUAAAGCGUGCGCAGGCGGUUAUGUAAGACAGAUGUGAAAUCCCCGGGCUCAACCUGGGAACUGCAUUUGUGACUGCAUAGCUAGAGUACGGCAGAGGGGGAUGGAAUUCCGCGUGUAGCAGUGAAAUGCGUAGAUAUGCGGAGGAACACCGAUGGCGAAGGCAAUCCCCUGGGCCUGUACUGACGCUCAUGCACGAAAGCGUGGGGAGCAAACAGGAUUAGAAACCCGUGUAGUCC
RNAcentral lists this ribosomal RNA (450 nucleotides) under uncultured bacterium. Its description in RNAcentral is "partial 16S ribosomal RNA". It matches the Rfam family "Bacterial small subunit ribosomal RNA", at positions 354 to 796 of the family's 1533-position model. The record is from RNAcentral.